Molecule: ribosomal RNA, 382 nt
Filed under: uncultured prokaryote
Description: partial 16S ribosomal RNA
Source: RNAcentral
CCCUAUGGGGUGCAGCAGUAACAGUGUUCGCCGAGCACCAGGUCGGCGCCGGGACGGGCCGCCUCGUCCAGAUCGUCGAUGGUCAGUGCCCGGCCGUCACGUCCCCGGAUCGGCAGACCGAGCGCCUGGUUGAAAUCGCAGUUGUAGAGCUGCCCCUGCCAGUCGACGCUGAUCAGGGUACGGCACAUGAUGGCGCCGGCGGCCUCGGGAUUGAAGCGGGCGGCCAGCAGGUUCAGGUACGCAUCGUAGGCCCCCUUCUUUUCCAGGAAGUCCCGGAAGCGGCCGAUGGGCGCAUUGGUGAUGGUGAAGAGAUUGCUGAAACGGAUGCCGAACCUUUCCAUCAGCUCUUUCCGGUAGGCGUCCUCCAGGCAGCGCUGGGAGC